AAUCAACGCUGGCGGCGUGCCUCAGACAUGCAAGUCGAACGCGAAAGUUCCCUUCGGGGGAGUAAGUAGAGUGGCGUCCGGGUGAGUAACACGUAGGUAAUCUACCUUUGGGUGGGGAAGUAACAACCGGAAACGGUUGCUAAUACCGCAUAAUGCAGCGGCACCACAUGGUGACAGUUGUUAAAGCGGGGGAUCGCAAGACCUCGCGCCUAAAGAGGAGCCUGCGGCGGAUUAGCUAGUUGGAGGGUUAACGG
Molecule: ribosomal RNA, 254 nt
Filed under: uncultured bacterium
Lineage: Bacteria
Description: partial 16S ribosomal RNA
Rfam family: Bacterial small subunit ribosomal RNA
Source: RNAcentral